Molecule: long non-coding RNA, 1079 nt
Filed under: Salvia miltiorrhiza (redroot sage)
Lineage: Eukaryota; Viridiplantae; Streptophyta; Magnoliopsida; Lamiales; Lamiaceae
Description: long non-coding RNA (SMIL_LNC003139)
Source: RNAcentral
UGCAGCCCACAAACAACCCAAAAAAAACAAUUGUGAAGCCCAUUAUAAGAUUAAAAAUCGGCCCACUGAUUUAAACAAAUCAACCCAUACUAAAAAUUAGUAAAGCCCAAAAUAAAAGUCCAAAAUUUAAAGAACUAAAGCCCUAAAAUAAAGAAAUAAUUAAACAAGCUUCUCUCUCUCUCUUCAGCCCCCUCCCAUCGGUUCUCUCUCUCUGAACUCUCGCUUCUUCUCUCCAGAACCUCNACCAGUUCUGCCCUUCCUCCCAAGCUCCACGCCGGCCGCCUGCUCCAGCUCCGGCGAAAUCCUCGCCGGAAACACCUCCCUCUGGUCGUCCCUCUCUCACCUCACUCAAAACUCUCUCUCUCUCUUCUUCCAGAACCACCACUCUUCUUCCUCCCAGAUUCGUCGCCGCCGCCGCCGCCUGCUUCAGCUCCGGCGAAAUCGCCGAAUCCGAGGCCUCCCUCACUCAUCGCCUCCCUUCUCUCGAUUCCGGUAGCAGGCAGCCAAGGAGGGCCGCCGCCGCUGCUGCUCCAUUCAUGCCGUGUCAGCGGCGCUCGGCCUUAGGCCGCGCCGCCCCGGCCUCGCCCACGACGCCGCCUCGCUCCGACCCCGUCUGUCUUGGCCGUGGGUGACCGGCGAGCUGCUGCAACGCCUGCAGCACCGGCAGCCGCGGCUUUGACAGCUUGGCGUCGAGCUCAGACAGCCCGCAAUCGUCUCCCUCUCGUCUCUCAGACUCUCACACUCGACAAAUUAAACCUCUCAUACUCAACAGAUUAAGUGAAACAACCGCAUCUCCUCAGAUUGAGGAAAGAGAGUAACGGUAAGUUAUGAGUAAUUGGAUUUUUGAGGGGAAAGAUCAGUCUUUAGUUGUAGGUUCAGAUUUAGUGAAGAAUCAGGACUUCGAAAAUGUAACCAAGUGUGUUUGAAGAGAUUUAACCUUGUUGUUUGGGGAUUUUUUUUGAAUGCCAAAAAUUUGGUUCGUGUUUUAUUUUUUUGUAAUAUUCUGGUAACGCAGAUUAUGGAGUCCUUGUAUAUGUUCUUGUGCAGGGAUUCUAGUCCAGUAUAUGUAUAGUUCAAUG